CCAGCUUAGUUUGGUCAAAGUUUAGAUUAACUGAGGACAUGGAAGGGCUUUCAAAGUCUUCAAUCCCUUCCACCUUGAUGGAAGAAGGGCUAAGAAGAGUUCUAGGAGACAACUCCAUGGUUUUGCUCACAGGGCUGGCACUGGCCUUUUCCUCCAGCUUCCUCUUGAGAGUGUUCAUCGUGGACGUGGGAGUUGAAGGGGAAGUGGCCGAGCUUGCCGGAAUCUGAGUCUGCCUGACCUGAAACAACACCUGCUUUUACCGGACCGUGACACUGCCUUGUCAAUGCCUUCAACCUGCCUGCUACCCCCCCUCUUCAGAAUGAUUUUCAACCGUGCAGUUGCUCAGCAGUGUGGAUGAACGAGCACGGAGGCUGAGACCGCCCGACUCAUCCACUCCCUGCAAAGCAAACCCGGUGUAACCCAGUGAAGCAUUAGCGUCCUCACAGGACCGGAGUCCACCCUCGUCCUUCAAGGCUGAACGCAUGAUGAAUGGUGACGAGGUUGCAGAGGUGAGAAUUCUCGUUUCAGAAGCCACUAUUCUUUCCCCCUGCAUGGAGAGGGGGACUUCUAUUACCUUUUUUUUAUUUUUCAUACUCUCAAAUUGCUCUGUAAUUCUAAAGCUUCCUUUGUGAGCUCAAGCUAAGGAGCUGUUCUAAAGUGUUUUAAAAAAUAAAAUCGGCACUUGCUCACUCAUUCCUCUUUCUCUGGAGUAACACAACAGCUCUGCUAUGAUAUGAAAUACUGCAUCCACUGGU
This is a non-coding RNA of Delphinapterus leucas (beluga whale), 755 nucleotides long. Lineage: Eukaryota; Metazoa; Chordata; Mammalia; Artiodactyla; Monodontidae. The record is from RefSeq and is a predicted model, not a curated record.